Molecule: ribosomal RNA, 441 nt
Filed under: uncultured bacterium
Lineage: Bacteria
Description: bacterial SSU rRNA
Rfam family: Bacterial small subunit ribosomal RNA
Source: RNAcentral
UCCUACGGGGGGCAGCAGUGGGGAAUAUUGGACAAUGGGCGAAAGCCUGAUCCAGCAAUGCCGCGUGAGUGAUGAAGGCCUUCGGGUUGUAAAGCUCUUUUGGCGGGGACGAUUAUGACGGUACCCGCAGAAUAAGCUCCGACUAACUUCGUGCCAGCAGUCGCGGUAAUACGAAGGGGGCUAGCGUUGCUCGGAAUUACUGGGCGUAAAGGGCGUGUAGGCGGCCUGCCAAGUCAGAUGUGAAAGCCCCGGGCUUAACCUGGGAACUGCAUUUGAUACUGGUAGGCUAGAGUUCGGGAGAGGACAGUAGAAUUGCUAGUGUAGAGGUGAAAUUCGUAGAUAUUAGCAGGAACACCGGUGGCGAAAGCGGCUGUCUGGAACGUAACUGACGCUGAGGCGCGAAAGCGUGGGGAGCAAACAGGAUUAGAUACCCUGGUAGUC